Long non-coding RNA from Lagopus leucura (white-tailed ptarmigan), 283 nucleotides. RefSeq lists it as uncharacterized. The transcript has 3 exons. NCBI's taxonomy places the organism in Eukaryota, Metazoa, Chordata, Aves, Galliformes, Phasianidae. The record is from RefSeq and is a predicted model, not a curated record.
ACAGGUGUCCCUGAACCACAUCCCUCUUUUGCAGAAGAGAUCACAGUUGUGAGGAGCCACCUCGUGAGGAUUUGUCAGUAAUUAAGUGGUAGGGCACUGCAUAAAAAUACCUGGGAAUGAAUGCAAACAAUGUGCUGUGGAGAGUGACAAUAAAACAGGGAUGACAGUAUAAAGAGAGAAUGAUGAAUGUAUUAACACAGCUGCUUUUUUCUCUGAGGAGCUCAGAACUGCUGUCAGAAAUGUUGAAACCUGCCAGAAUUCUUUUUCUCUUUUCUUCCCAAAC